GCCUGGACGGGGCUGCUGCUCAGGCUCUAACAAUUCAGCACGUGGCCCCCACCCCGCCCCAGCCAGGGCAGCUCGUCCCGCACCCCCAAAACCCAGCAGGACAACAGAACCCAGGGGCCGGCCGGGGGGUGGGGCAGGCCGGGCAGAGCCCAGGCAGGAGAGGGUAGGGGAGCUGCAAGGGGGCAGGGUGGGGUGGGCUUCAGGGGGAGGCACAGGGAGGAUGUGCUGCCUGGGAACAUCCUUGAAAGGAUCAAAGACGUUGUUCUGAUAUUCCGUCCCAGGAGGGGUACCAGGCCCACCCCAGCCGGGGCCGCCGGGCCGCCAGGCAGAGCCCGAGAGGCAAAGGUGCCAGAGGAACCCAGGCUGUGCACGCCAGCUCAGCGCUUGCCAUGGGCAUCCCUCUCACAUGAACGCAGCUCAUGUUUUAGCUGGAAAACAGAGAGAGGUUUGGAGGAUUCUAAUAAAAGUCACCCGGGAGCCCCCUGCCGGGGGGCCCCUCUGGGUGUCCCCUCGCGGCCAUGAUAAAGGGCCGAGGGCUCUGCCAGGCAGCCCCAGCACAGGCAUCUUCUCCUGGCCCGGGAUCCUGCAGAAGAGCACAAGGGCUGCAGAGCAGAGGCCGGACGACGCCAGCUCUCAGAGUCAGCACCAACCCCGUCAGGGUGACCACUGGGGACCCAUCCACGCCACAGAGAGGUGACAGGCUCUGGACUCAGGCUCCGGCCGAGCCGAGGCCGGGAGAAGGAGGAUCCCAGGACGAUGCACAGCCUGCAGCCCAGACCCAGGACCGGCCCACCGCAGAUCCACAGGUUUAAAGGGCACCGGCGAGAGCUGGCAUCACGGGCCCCAAGACCAAACUUCUGAGAAGCCCGGAAGAGGGGGUCCCGGAGGUGACCUCUGACCUCAUGACCCCCCCAACACCACCCCUGCCGACCACGGAAGGGUUUGAGUCCCCGACCAUGCGGGGUGGGGGGGUGGGGGGG
Molecule: long non-coding RNA, 980 nt
Filed under: Sus scrofa (pig)
Lineage: Eukaryota; Metazoa; Chordata; Mammalia; Artiodactyla; Suidae
Description: lncRNA (ENSSSCG00015011126.1)
Source: RNAcentral